This is a long non-coding RNA of Anoplophora glabripennis (Asian longhorned beetle), 185 nucleotides long. RefSeq lists it as uncharacterized. Lineage: Eukaryota; Metazoa; Arthropoda; Insecta; Coleoptera; Cerambycidae. The record is from RefSeq and is a predicted model, not a curated record. The transcript has 2 exons.
AAUUUAGUACAUAUCUAGUCACUCUACAUUUUAGCAUUACCUAUAUUUAAUCGAGAAAGAACAAUAAAGAGAUCUUAGAGUCCUUUAUGGACAGUGCCCUUAAGUUAAACACAUAGUUUGUCUCUAUGAUAGUAAAUGGCUCUGGCGGCUGCACUUUUGAAUUGCCGAUAUUCUAUCGUGAAAAA